CUCCCCAUAGUUCAACAGGAUAGAACGAGGGCCUCCUAAGCCCUAGAUCCAGGUUCGAGCCCUGGUGGGGAGGCCA
This 76-nucleotide transfer RNA is filed under the name Marinibactrum halimedae. RNAcentral describes it as "tRNA-Arg". It matches the Rfam family "tRNA". From Rfam's summary of the family: Transfer RNA (tRNA) molecules are approximately 80 nucleotides in length. Their secondary structure includes four short double-helical elements and three loops (D, anti-codon, and T loops). Further hydrogen bonds mediate the characteristic L-shaped molecular structure. tRNAs have two regions of fundamental functional importance: the anti-codon, which is responsible for specific mRNA codon recognition, and the 3' end, to which the tRNAs corresponding amino acid is attached (by aminoacyl-tRNA synthetases). tRNAs cope with the degeneracy of the genetic code in two manners: having more than one tRNA (with a specific anti-codon) for a particular amino acid; and 'wobble' base-pairing, i.e. permitting non-standard base-pairing at the 3rd anti-codon position. Lineage: Bacteria; Pseudomonadati; Pseudomonadota; Gammaproteobacteria; Cellvibrionales; Cellvibrionaceae. The record is from RNAcentral.